RNAcentral lists this long non-coding RNA (335 nucleotides) under Mytilus galloprovincialis (Mediterranean mussel). Lineage: Eukaryota; Metazoa; Mollusca; Bivalvia; Mytilida; Mytilidae. The record is from RNAcentral.
GGUGGUAUGAUACUAAACCCCUAACGGGAAGGAUUGUGCCUGAUGUUCAUAUGAUGAAAUCAUAAUCUUUCAGUCAGUUUAAUUGAAGUCUGGAGCUGGCAUGUCAGUUAACUGCUAGUAGUCUGUUGUUAUUUAUGUAUUAUUGUCAUUUUGUUUAUUUUCUUUGGUUACAUCUUCUGACAUCAGACUCGGACUUCUCUUGAACUGAAUUUUAAUGUGCGUAUUGUUAUGCGUUUACUUUUCUAUAUUGGCUAGAGGUAUAGGGGGAGGGUUGAGAUCUCACAAACAUGUUUAACCCCGCCACAUUUUUGCGGUUGUCCCAAGUCAUGAGCCUC